RNA transcript from Manihot esculenta (cassava), 2340 nucleotides. RefSeq lists it as uncharacterized. The transcript has 3 exons. NCBI's taxonomy places the organism in Eukaryota, Viridiplantae, Streptophyta, Magnoliopsida, Malpighiales, Euphorbiaceae. The record is from RefSeq and is a predicted model, not a curated record.
GCUAAAGAUUGGUUAUUUUAUUUACCACCUGGAUCUAUCACUUCUUGGGAUGAUAUGGUAAUAGUUUUUCUAAACAAAUACUUCCCAACUUCUAAAGCCAUUGGCAUAAGAAGAGAGAUCAGUAGCAUUAGACAGAAACAAUUUGAGGAUUUAUAUGACUAUUGGGAAAGGUUCAAAAGAUUGUGUACAGGUUGUCCUCAACAUGAUAUCUCAGACAAGUCACUCAUAGAAUUCUUCUAUGGAGGUUUGCUACCAUCUAAAAGGAGAUUCAUUGAUGUGGCAUGUGGAGGUUUCAUUGCAGAUAAGACACCUAGGGAGAUGAGAGAGUUGAUCUUAAUACUUGCAACCUCAUCUAGGCAAUAUGAAGAAGAAAAGCAACUAUAGAGAGGAGCCAAUAAGGUAAGUACAUCCACUAUUUCCUCUCAGCUUUCUGAACUGACCUCUGUUAUGAAAAAUUUUGUCUUAGGUCAAACUCAACAGGCUCAGCCACCCCAGCGACCUCGGCCAUGUGGGAUUUGUGCAUAUGUAGGACACCUAACUGAUCAAUAUCCUACUCUUCAAGAAGAUAUCCAGCAAGUGAAUGCCAUUGGAUGAUACAACAGUCAGGUAAGACAUGAUUCAUAUUCUAACACCUACAAUCCAGGUUGGAGAGACCACCCCAAUUUCAGUUAUAGAAGGGCUAACAACAACCAGAACUAUCAGAGUUAUCAAAGAAAUCAAGCCCAACCAGCACCUCCAAGUUUCAACCAGCACCUUGAGAAGAUGAUAGAGACAUUGGCAAACUCUGUACAAACUCUCCAACAAUAGGUGGGACAGAUGGCAAUAUCUAUGAGCAAGUCUGAAUCCUAAGGUAAGCUGCCUUCCCAAACUGAAACUAAUCCUAGAUAGAAUAUCAGUGCUAUCAUAUUAAGAAGUGGAAAAGAGCUUCAAGAUGCCAAAUCUGAUUAAGAAAGACCAAGGGCGCAAGAGCAAGUUGUUUUAGAAGACCAACCGACGCACCACCUUUCCAAGCCGAAUGAGCAAGCCAAAUAGGUUCAUCAGCCAAAUAUAAAUCAGCAAGUGCACUGAAAGAUACGAGAGUAGUAAUUCAGUUGGCUGACCGAUCUGUGGUGUAUCCAAAAGGAGUUCUAGAAGAUGUUCUAGUGCAAGUAGAUGAACUUGUCUUUCCAGCAGACUUUUAUGUGAUUGAUACAAAAGAAGACAAUUGUAACACUUUUUCAGACAUCCUUCUUGGACGACCUUUCUUAAGUACAGCCAGGACUAAGAUAGAUGUGCAUGAUGGCACUCUCACUAUGGAAUUUGAAGGGGAAGUGAUUAAGUUUAAUGUUUAUGAUGCAAUGAAAUAUCCCCAUAAUAUGUCCCCUGUUUAUGGUCUUGAUAUUAUUGAUUGCUUGAGUCAGGAAAUUUUUUAUAUGAAUCAAGAUGAUAUACUAAAAAGUGACCUUUGCAGGAAAGAGAGCCAGAAAGAGCUAGGACUGAAAGAAACAGUCUGCAGCAUCCAGCAGAUGAGCUGCAGACAAGCGCAGAAAGGGAAGGGACCAAUUACACCUCUUCAGAUCAAUUCGCAGAAGAGCCUUAUGCAGACAGAGGGCACUCCAACUGAACCACCUUAGCUUGAACCGUAGGACAGUCCUGCAAUACACCCCUUUCAGACAGGUCUUGCGCAGAAGGAAGAGGCUGAAUCCAAUUUAGCCAUAUAGCCAACACAAACAGCCCAUGCGCAUAAGGAAUAAAAAGAUUUCCAAUUGCCCAAAGCAAAGGAGCAUGAGGAACACUUUCUACCCAAGCCACCAGAUAAGGCAAAAUCUUGUCUGCCUAAACAGAAGCUCUCCAUGUGGCAACCUCCUGAAUGUGUAGAAAGCGACUUCCCCUUUGAUAGGCCCAAGCACACAAAAGACAAAAUCAAGAAGACUGCAAAACAUGAUGUUUGGGAGGAACCAUGCCUAAAACCAUACUAUGAAGGAUUCACAGUGCAAGUGGUGGAAGAAAUUCCACUACAUCAUCCCUCUCAGUCUGUCUAGGCGAUCGCACCAUGCAACACCACACCAGGGGAGUACUCAGUUUCUUUUGUAUUUUAAUAUUUCUUAUACAUUGAGGACAAUGCAUGAUUUAGGUGUGGGGGUGCAUAUUUCUGAAUUUUUAUUUUUGCUUUCAUUUUCAGUUUGAAUUUUUUUUUUCAUUUUUUGUGUGAUUUUUUUUCAUUUUUGAUUUCAAUAACACACAUGAACCACAGUCUUCUUUUUGAUUUGCUUCACUCAAACUCUUAGACUAUGUUGAAUGAGCUUUCUUCCCAUGACACCAUUGAUAUGAUGACUCUUUAAACUUAAGUUGAAUCAAUUG